GCAGACCACUCCUACGGGAGGCAGCAGUGGGGGAAUAUUGCACAAUGGGCGCAAGCCUGAUGCAGCCAUGCCGCGUGUAUGAAGAAGGCUCGGUUGUAAAGUACUUUCAGCAGUGAGGAAGGUGGGUAUGUUAAUAGCAUAUUCAUUUGACGUUAGCUGCAGAAGAAGCACCGGCUAACUCCGUGCCAGCAGCCGCGGUAAUACGGAGGGUGCGAGCGUUAAUCGGAAUUACUGGGCGUAAAGCGCAUGCAGGUGGUUUGUUAAGUCAGAUGUGAAAGCCCGGGGCUCAACCUCGGAAUUGCAUUUGAAACUGGCAAACUAGAGUACUGUAGAGGGGGUAGAAUUUCAGGUGUAGCGGUGAAAUGCGUAGAGAUCUGAAGGAAUACCGGUGGCGAAGGCGGCCCCCUGGACAGAUACUGACACUCAGAUGCGAAAGCGUGGGGAGCAAACAGGAUUAGAUACCCUCGGUAG
RNAcentral lists this ribosomal RNA (471 nucleotides) under uncultured bacterium. Its description in RNAcentral is "bacterial SSU rRNA". It matches the Rfam family "Bacterial small subunit ribosomal RNA", at positions 328 to 793 of the family's 1533-position model. The record is from RNAcentral.